Molecule: unclassified non-coding RNA, 202 nt
Filed under: Hevea brasiliensis (rubber tree)
Lineage: Eukaryota; Viridiplantae; Streptophyta; Magnoliopsida; Malpighiales; Euphorbiaceae
Source: RNAcentral
AGAGACCAUUGAUUUGUGUUCAUCGAUGGUACUAAUAUAUACACCACCUAAAGAUCCUUACUUUUCAGUGACAUCACCUUCACUAUGCUACUUCUUCUAUGAGCUAAAGCAAAAAUUAGAAAUUUCUUUCCAAGCUCAUUGUUUAAGGCCAAGUGUUGUUUGUGCUAUAGGCAAAAUUCUUUCAAAUUUAGCCAGACUUAAG